UGGGUAGAGUUUUCUGUAGCCAGAGUA
Molecule: non-coding RNA, 27 nt
Filed under: Rattus norvegicus (Norway rat)
Lineage: Eukaryota; Metazoa; Chordata; Mammalia; Rodentia; Muridae
Source: RNAcentral